AGUGAACGCUGGCGGUAGGCCUAAUACAUGCAAGUCGAACGGCAGCACAGUAAGUGCUUGCUCUUACGGGUGGCGAGUGGCGGACGGGUGAGGAAUACAUCCGAAUCUACUUUUUCGUGGGGGAUAACGUAGGGAAACUUACGCUAGUACAGCAUACGACGUCGGGUUGAAUGUGGGGGACAUUUGGACUUUGAGCGCUUCAAGGAGCCCAUGCGUAGUUAUAUAGUGGGCGGGGUAAAGCCCCACCAAGGCGACAAUCCGUAGCUGGUCUGAGGGGAUGAUCAGCCACACUGGAACUGAGACACGGUCCAGACUCCUACGGGAGGCGGCAGUGGGGAAUAUUGGACAAUGGGCGCAAGCCUGAUCCAGCCAUACCGCGUGGGUGAGGAAGGCCUUCGGGUUGUAAAGCCCUUUUUUUGAGAAAGAAAAGCAGCAGGUUAAUACCCCGCUGUUCUGACGGUACCCAAAGAAUAAGCACCGGCUAACUUCGUG
This 492-nucleotide ribosomal RNA is filed under the name uncultured bacterium. Its description in RNAcentral is "partial 16S ribosomal RNA". It matches the Rfam family "Bacterial small subunit ribosomal RNA", at positions 29 to 507 of the family's 1533-position model. The record is from RNAcentral.